GGGCCUGUAGAUCAGUGGAAGAUUGUUAAGUUCGAUUUUGUACUAACCUUUAACGCUUGACUUGCAUUCAAGAGGUCACGGGUUCAAUUCCCGUCAGGUCCA
Molecule: transfer RNA, 102 nt
Filed under: Promethearchaeota archaeon
Lineage: Archaea; Promethearchaeati; Promethearchaeota
Description: Candidatus Lokiarchaeota archaeon tRNA-Ala
Rfam family: tRNA
About the family: Transfer RNA (tRNA) molecules are approximately 80 nucleotides in length. Their secondary structure includes four short double-helical elements and three loops (D, anti-codon, and T loops).
Source: RNAcentral